RNAcentral lists this ribosomal RNA (447 nucleotides) under uncultured bacterium. RNAcentral describes it as "bacterial SSU rRNA". It matches the Rfam family "Bacterial small subunit ribosomal RNA", at positions 329 to 793 of the family's 1533-position model. The record is from RNAcentral.
CGCCAGACUCCUACGGGAGGCAGCAGUGGGGGAUAUUGCACAAUGGGGGAAACCCUGAUGCAGCGACGCCGCGUGAGUGAAGAAGUAUUUCGGUAUGUAAAGCUCUAUCAGCAGGGACGAAAAUGACGGUACCUGAGUAAGAAGCCCCGGCUAACUACGUGCCAGCAGCCGCGGUAAUACGUAGGGGGCAAGCGUUAUCCGGAUUUACUGGGUGUAAAGGGAGCGUAGACGGCAGCGCAAGUCUGGAGUGAAAUGCCGGGGCUCAACCCCGGAACUGCUUUGGAAACUGUGCAGCUAAAGUGCGGGAGAGGUAAGCGGAAUUCCUAGUGUAGCGGUGAAAUGCGUAGAUAUUAGGAGGAACACCAGUGGCGAAGGCGGCUUGCUGGACCGUAACUGACGUUGAGGCUCGAAAGCGUGGGGAGCAAACAGGAUUAGAUACCCUCGUAC